Suricata suricatta (meerkat) is the source of this 132-nucleotide small nucleolar RNA. Lineage: Eukaryota; Metazoa; Chordata; Mammalia; Carnivora; Herpestidae. The record is from Ensembl.
GUCGAGGUUAAUUCCAAUGGGGGCUUUUUCUGUAGCUCUACCUCGUUGGGAACACCUCAGAGAGUAUAUGAGUGGUUUUCUUUAUUCCCAGAACUAGACGUUCAAUCUGUGGGAAAGAGCUACAAGACAUCU